AACGAACGCUGGCGGCAUGCCUAACACAUGCAAGUCGAACGAGACCUUCGGGUCUAGUGGCGCACGGGUGCGUAACGCGUGGGAACCUGCCCUUAGGUUCGGAAUAACUCCCCGAAAGGGGUGCUCAUACCGGAUAAUGUCUUCGGACCAAAGAUUUAUCGCCUUUGGAUGGGCCCGCGUUGGAUUAGCUAGUUGGUAGGGUAAAAGCCUACCAAGGCGACGAUCCAUAGCUGGUCUGAGAGGAUGAUCAGCCACACUGGGACUGAGACACGGCCCAGACUCCUACGGGAGGCAGCAGUGGGGAAUAUUAGACAAUGGGCGAAAGCCUGAUCCAGCAAUGCCGCGUGAGUGAUGAAGGCCUUAGGGUUGUAAAGCUCUUUUACCCGGGAUGAUAAUGACAGUACCGGGAGAAUAAGCUCCGGCUAACUACGUG
RNAcentral lists this ribosomal RNA (433 nucleotides) under uncultured bacterium. RNAcentral's name for it is "partial 16S ribosomal RNA". It matches the Rfam family "Bacterial small subunit ribosomal RNA", at positions 29 to 507 of the family's 1533-position model. The record is from RNAcentral.